This 466-nucleotide ribosomal RNA is filed under the name uncultured bacterium. RNAcentral's name for it is "partial 16S ribosomal RNA". It matches the Rfam family "Bacterial small subunit ribosomal RNA", at positions 28 to 507 of the family's 1533-position model. The record is from RNAcentral.
GAUGAACGCUGGCGGCGUGCUUAACACAUGCAAGUCGAACGAUGAAGCCCAGCUUGCUGGGUGGAUUAGUGGCGAACGGGUGAGUAACACGUGAGUAACCUGCCCUUAACUCUGGGAUAAGCCUGGGAAACUGGGUCUAAUACCGGAUAGGAGCGUCCACGGCAUGGUGGGUGUUGGAAAGAUUUAUCGGUUUUGGAUGGACUCGCGGCCUAUCAGCUGGUUGGUGUGGUAAUGGCGCACGAAGGCGACGACGGGUAGCCGGCCUGAGAGGGUGACCGGCCACACUGGGACUGAGACACGGCGCAGACUCCUACGGGAGGCAGCAGUGGGGAAUAUUGCACAAUGGGCGCAAGCCUGAUGCAGCGACGCCGCGUGAGGGAUGACGGCCUUCGGGUUGUAAACCUCUUUCAGUAGGGAAGAAGCGAAAGUGACGGUACCUGCAGAAGAAGCACCGGCUAACUACGUG